RNAcentral lists this ribosomal RNA (229 nucleotides) under uncultured bacterium. Its description in RNAcentral is "partial 16S ribosomal RNA". It matches the Rfam family "Bacterial small subunit ribosomal RNA", at positions 568 to 796 of the family's 1533-position model. The record is from RNAcentral.
UGCGUAGGCGGUUCGGUCAGUCGCAUGUGAAAGCCCUCGGCUCAACCGAGGAAUUGCAUGCGAUACUACCGGACUUGAGGGUGCGAGGGGUGAGCGGAAUUCCAGGUGUAGCGGUGGAAUGCGUAGAUAUCUGGGAGAAGGCCGGCGGCGAAGGCGGCUCACUGGCGCACAACUGACGCUGAGGCACGAAGGCGUGGGGAGCAAACAGGAUUAGAUACCCUGGUAGUCC